Molecule: non-coding RNA, 21 nt
Filed under: Caenorhabditis elegans
Lineage: Eukaryota; Metazoa; Nematoda; Chromadorea; Rhabditida; Rhabditidae
Source: RNAcentral
UAACAUUCUAUGCCCUGUUGU